RNAcentral lists this transfer RNA (59 nucleotides) under Urocitellus parryii (Arctic ground squirrel). Its description in RNAcentral is "Spermophilus parryii (Arctic ground squirrel) tRNA". It matches the Rfam family "tRNA", at positions 7 to 64 of the family's 71-position model. From Rfam's summary of the family: Transfer RNA (tRNA) molecules are approximately 80 nucleotides in length. The record is from Rfam by way of RNAcentral. RNAcentral also lists the same sequence under 2 other names. Lineage: Eukaryota; Metazoa; Chordata; Mammalia; Rodentia; Sciuridae.
AUAGCUCUGUGAUAGAGUGCUUGCCUAGCAUGCAAGAAGCCCUGGAUUUGAUCUCCAGU